CUCAGGACGACGCCGGGCGUGUGCUUCACACAUGCAAGUCGAACGAGGUAGCAAUACCUAGUGGCGGACGGGUGAGUAACGCGUGGGAAUCUGCCCAAGGGUGGGGGAUAACUAGCCGAAAGGUUAGCUAAUACCGCACAUGCCGUGAGGUAAAAGGAGUAAUCCGCCCCUGGAUGAGCCUGCGUCCGAUUAGCUAGUUGGUGGGGUAAAAGCCUACCAAGGCUACGAUCGGUAGCUGGUCUGAGAGGAUGAUCAGCCACAAUGGGACUGAGACACGGCCCAUACUCCUACGGGAGGCAGCAGUGGGGAAUCUUACGCAAUGGGCGAAAGCCUGACGUAGCGACACCGCGUGAGCGAAGAAGCCCUUUGGGGUGUAAAGCUCUGUCAGCAGGGACGAAUAAAUGACGGUACCUGCAGAGGAAGCAUCGGCUAACUACGUGCCAGCAGCCGCGGUAAGACGUAGGAUGCGAGCGUUGUCCGGAUUCAUUGGGCGUAAAGAGUUCGUAGGCGGUUUGUUAAGUCUGAUGUUAAAGAUCGGGGCCCAACCCUGGGAGUGCAUUGGAUACUGGCAGACUGGAGUGCAGUAGAGGCAAGUGGAAUUCCCAGCGUAGCGGUGAAAUGCGUAGAUAUUGGGAAGAACACCGGUGGCGCAGGCGACUUGCUGGGCUGUAACUGACGAUGAGGAACGAAAGCUAGGGGAGCAAAUGGGAUUAGAUACCCCAGUAGUCCUAGCUGUAAACGAUGGAUACUAGGCGUUGCAGGUAUCGACCCCUGCAGUGCCGCAGUUAACGCGAUAAGUAUCCCGCCUGAGUAGUAC
RNAcentral lists this ribosomal RNA (817 nucleotides) under uncultured bacterium. RNAcentral's name for it is "bacterial SSU rRNA". It matches the Rfam family "Bacterial small subunit ribosomal RNA", at positions 23 to 883 of the family's 1533-position model. The record is from RNAcentral.